RNAcentral lists this transfer RNA (75 nucleotides) under Pseudomonas amygdali pv. lachrymans str. M301315. Its description in RNAcentral is "tRNA-Ile". It matches the Rfam family "tRNA". Rfam says of the family: Transfer RNA (tRNA) molecules are approximately 80 nucleotides in length. Lineage: Bacteria; Pseudomonadati; Pseudomonadota; Gammaproteobacteria; Pseudomonadales; Pseudomonadaceae. The record is from RNAcentral.
GCCUGUGUAGCUCAGCGGCAGAGCACUCUCUUGAUAAGGGAUAGGUCGGUUGUUCGAAUCAACCCACUGGCACCA